GCGGCCCCGGGGCCAUCCCGAGCCCGAGGGGCGGAGAGGGGAGCCGAGAAUUCGGAAGUGAGAAGGGGACCCGGAGACAAAGGGAAAAAACCAAGACUGAGAAAGAAGUGAGAGUAUGGGUGAAAAGAAUGAGAAAGGAUGAUACUGAGAAGACAAAGGGAAAAAGUAGACUGCAUGCCCCUCUACCAAAAGUGUUGUUUGUUGACUUUCGAUUUUUCGAAAGCGAGAAAAGAUAAAGAGCUCUUGACCUGUUUUGUAAGCUAGAUGU
This 268-nucleotide long non-coding RNA is filed under the name Homo sapiens (human). Its description in RNAcentral is "HSALNT0138039". The record is from RNAcentral. Lineage: Eukaryota; Metazoa; Chordata; Mammalia; Primates; Hominidae.